RNAcentral lists this ribosomal RNA (253 nucleotides) under uncultured bacterium. Its description in RNAcentral is "partial 16S ribosomal RNA". It matches the Rfam family "Bacterial small subunit ribosomal RNA", at positions 524 to 776 of the family's 1533-position model. The record is from RNAcentral.
UACGGGGGGGGCAAGCGUUGUUCGGAAUUACUGGGCGUAAAGGGCUCGUAGGUGGCCAACUAAGUCGGACGUGAAAUCCCUCGGCUUAACCGGGGAACUGCAUCCGAUACUGGAUGGCUUGAGUUCGGGAGAGGGAUGCGGAAUUCCAGGUGUAGCGGUGAAAUGCGUAGAUAUCUGGAGGAACACCGGUGGCGAGGGCGGCAUCCUGGACCGACACUGACGCUGAGGAGCGAAAGCCAGGGGAGCAAACGGG